CCUACGGGUGGCAGCAGUGAGGAAUAUUGGUCAAUGGACGAGAGUCUGAACCAGCCAAGUAGCGUGAAGGAUGACUGCCCUAUGGGUUGUAAACUUCUUUUAUAUGGGAAUAAAACGUUCCACGUGUGGGAUUUUGUAUGUACCCUAUGAAUAAGGAUCGGCUAACUCCGUGCCAGCAGCCGCGGUAAUACGGAGGAUCCGAGCGUUAUCCGGAUUUAUUGGGUUUAAAGGGAGCGUAGGUGGAUUGUUAAGUCAAUUGUGAAAGUUUGCGGCUCAACCGUAAAAUUGCAGUUGAAACUGGCAGUCUUGAGUACAGUAGAGGUGGGCGGAAUUCGUGGUGUAGCGGUGAAAUGCUUAGAUAUCACGAAGAACUCCGAUUGCGAAGGCAGUUCACUGGACUGCAACUGACACUGAGGCUCGAAAGUGUGGGUAUCAAACAGGAUUAGAUACCCUUGUAGUC
RNAcentral lists this ribosomal RNA (460 nucleotides) under uncultured bacterium. RNAcentral describes it as "partial 16S ribosomal RNA". It matches the Rfam family "Bacterial small subunit ribosomal RNA", at positions 338 to 795 of the family's 1533-position model. The record is from RNAcentral.